RNAcentral lists this ribosomal RNA (145 nucleotides) under Hesperocyparis arizonica. RNAcentral's name for it is "5.8S ribosomal RNA". It matches the Rfam family "5.8S ribosomal RNA". Rfam says of the family: 5.8S ribosomal RNA (5.8S rRNA) is a component of the large subunit of the eukaryotic ribosome. It is transcribed by RNA polymerase I as part of the 45S precursor that also contains 18S and 28S rRNA. Lineage: Eukaryota; Viridiplantae; Streptophyta; Pinopsida; Cupressales; Cupressaceae. The record is from RNAcentral.
AACGGAUAUCUCGGCUCUCGCCACGAUGAAGAAUGUAGCGAAAUGCGAUACUUAGUGUGAAUUGCAGAAUCCCGUGAAUCAUCAAGUCUUUGAACGCAAGUUGCGCCGGAGGCUUCGGCCAAGGGCACGUCUGCUUGGGCGUCGC